CCCUUAGACGUUCUGGGCCGCACGCGCGCUACACUGACCAGUGCAACAAGCAUCCGUCCUUGGCCGACAGGCCCGGGCAAUCUUUGAACGCUGGUCGUGAUGGGGAUAGACUUUUGCAAUUUUUGGUCUUCAACGAGGAAUUCCUAGUAAACGCAAGUCAUCAACUUGCAUUGAUUACGUCCCUGCCCUUUGUACACACCGCCCGUCGCACCUACCGAUUGAAUGGUCCGGUGAAGCCUCCGGAUUGGUGCGCACCUCGGUGCCGCCGAGAAGUUGGCUAAACCUUACCAUUUAGAGGAAGGUGAANUCGUANCA
Molecule: ribosomal RNA, 315 nt
Filed under: uncultured eukaryote
Lineage: Eukaryota
Description: partial 18S ribosomal RNA
Rfam family: Eukaryotic small subunit ribosomal RNA
Source: RNAcentral